Molecule: non-coding RNA, 81 nt
Organism: Gautieria morchelliformis
Lineage: Eukaryota; Fungi; Basidiomycota; Agaricomycetes; Gomphales; Gomphaceae
Source: the annotation of a GenBank genome assembly
GGGGACAUGGUGUAGGGGUUAUCACGCUUCAUUUGCAAUCGCAGCUUGAAGAGGUCACGAGUUCAAUUCUCGUUGUCUCCA